Molecule: long non-coding RNA, 480 nt
Organism: Homo sapiens (human)
Lineage: Eukaryota; Metazoa; Chordata; Mammalia; Primates; Hominidae
Gene: POU6F2-AS1
Product: POU6F2 antisense RNA 1
Source: Ensembl
GGAAACGAGGCUGGAAGGAAAAUGUUGGGGAGCUUGGUGGAGUCUGGGUUUAGGGCUAGCCCAGGAGGGAACGAGCCUGAACUUCAGGGGUGAGUUUCUUUCAGGGACAUCGAGCGAGGCAGGUGUUCCACCCCACUUUCUUGUUUGAGGGGAGAAGGAAACCAAAGCCAGUAGAAAUGGAAUUUAUGGCCUCCGUGCUCUCAGAGGGAGAAAAAAAUUCUCACUCAUCAGCCUAAAGAGAAACCCUGUCUUAUCCCAGAUUACCACCAUGGGAUUUAAAAUUCAGUGAGAAGACUGCUUGGGAAAUACUGUCUCCGAACUGCCGGUACAGACACUGCCCAUUGGUACAAUAUUUUUAGGUCAUCUGUCAAUUGCCAUGUUUGCAUUUCUUUCAUGCAAUACAAGUUGAAAUCAUAAUGAAUUUCUUGAGUUUCAGGAAUAUCUCAAAAUAAACUUCUUCAUCCUCAACAAAUGAUUAAA